This 497-nucleotide ribosomal RNA is filed under the name uncultured bacterium. Its description in RNAcentral is "partial 16S ribosomal RNA". It matches the Rfam family "Bacterial small subunit ribosomal RNA", at positions 28 to 507 of the family's 1533-position model. The record is from RNAcentral.
GAUGAACGCUGGCGGCGUGCCUAAUACAUGCAAGUCGAGCGAACGGACGAUAAGCUUGCUUCUCUGAUGUUAGCGGCGGACGUGUGAGUAACACGUGGAUAACCUACCUAUCAGACUGGGAUAACUUCGGGACACCGUAUCUAAUACCGGAUAAUAUUUUGAACCGCAUGGUUCAAAAGUGAAAGACGGUCUUGCUGUCACUUAUAGAUGGAUCCGCGCUGCAUUAUCUAGUUGUUAAGGUAACGGCUUACCAAGGCAACGAUGCAUAGCCGACCUGAGAGAGUGAUAGGCCACACUGGAACUGGGACACGGUCCAGACGCCUACGGGAGGCAGCAGAAGGGAAUCUUACGCAAUGGGCGAAAGCAUGACGGAGCAACGCCGAGUGAGUGAUGAAGGUCUUCGGAUCGUAAAACUCUGUUAUUAGGGAAGAACAUAUGUGUAAGUAGCUGUGCACAUCUUGACGGUACCUAAUCAGAAAGCCACGGCUAACUACGUG